Molecule: ribosomal RNA, 253 nt
Filed under: uncultured bacterium
Lineage: Bacteria
Description: partial 16S ribosomal RNA
Rfam family: Bacterial small subunit ribosomal RNA
Source: RNAcentral
GACGAACCGUGAGAACGUUGUUCGGAAUCACUGGGCUUAAAGGGUGCGUAGGCGGGUUGUCCAGUCUGGGGUGAAAUCCCACGGCUCAACCGUGGAAUUGCCUCAGAUACUGACGAACUCGAGGGAGGUAGGGGCGAGCGGAACUGUGGGUGGGGCGGUGAACUGCGUUGAUAUCCACAGGAACUCCGGUGGCGAAGGCGGCUCGCUGGACCUCUUCUGACGCUGAGGCACGAAAGCUAGGGGAGCAAACGGG